RNAcentral lists this ribosomal RNA (492 nucleotides) under uncultured bacterium. RNAcentral's name for it is "partial 16S ribosomal RNA". It matches the Rfam family "Bacterial small subunit ribosomal RNA", at positions 28 to 507 of the family's 1533-position model. The record is from RNAcentral.
GAUGAACGCUAGCUACAGGCUUAACACAUGCAAGUCGAGGGGAAACGGCAUUGAGUGCUUGCACUCUUUGGACGUCGACCGGCGCACGGGUGAGUAACGCGUAUCCAACCUUCCCAUUACUGUGGGAUAACCUGCCGAAAGGCAGACUAAUACCGCAUAGUCUUCGAUGACGGCAUCAGAUUUGAAGUAAAGAUUUAUCGGUAAUGGAUGGGGAUGCGUCUGAUUAGCUUGUUGGCGGGGUAACGGCCCACCAAGGCUACGAUCAGUAGGGGUUCUGAGAGGAAGGUCCCCCACAUUGGAACUGAGACACGGUCCAAACGCCUACGGGAGGCAGCAGUGAGGAAUAUUGGUCAAUGGACGGAAGUCUGAACCAGCCAAGUAGCGUGCAGGAUGACGGCCCUAUGGGUUGUAAACUGCUUUUGUAUGGGGAUAAAGUUAGGGACGUGUCCCUAUUUGCAGGUACCAUACGAAUAAGAACCGGCUAAUUCCGUG